Molecule: unclassified non-coding RNA, 614 nt
Filed under: Homo sapiens (human)
Lineage: Eukaryota; Metazoa; Chordata; Mammalia; Primates; Hominidae
Description: myomesin 2 (ENSG00000274137.2)
Source: RNAcentral
CGCAGCCGGAGAGAGCUUCACGCACACCAUCUCUUCGUUCUUCCUGAACUCUGUCACGGAGGGGGCCUUUGUUUAUUUAUUUUUGGGAAAUCUGCUUCGCCACUGAAGGUACUCUGCACCCCAGAAGGAAUACGACUUCAGUGUUUCAUGAAGUAUUUUACAGACGAAAUGAAAGUGAACUGGUGUCACAAAGAUGCUAAGAUCUCAUCCAGUGAGCAUAUGAGAAUCGGGGGGAGUGAAGAGAUGGCUUGGCUGCAGAUAUGUGAGCCGACUGAGAAGGAUAAAGGAAAAUACACUUUUGAGAUUUUCGAUGGCAAAGACAACCAUCAACGCUCCCUUGACCUGUCCGGACAAGAGCUGCUGCUUUUGCAGAGAAGAAUCGUGGCAGGUUGAUCGGCGGCUUGCCUGACGUGGUGACCAUCAUGGAAGGGAAGACCUUGAAUCUGACCUGCACGGUGUUUGGAAACCCUGACCCCGAAGUGAUUUGGUUCAAGAACGACCAGGACAUCCAGCUCAGCGAGCACUUCUCGGUGAAGGUGGAGCAGGCCAAGUACGUCAGCAUGACCAUCAAAGGCGUGACCUCCGAGGACUCGGGCAAGUACAGCAUCAACAUC